Molecule: long non-coding RNA, 404 nt
Organism: Hippocampus comes (tiger tail seahorse)
Lineage: Eukaryota; Metazoa; Chordata; Actinopteri; Syngnathiformes; Syngnathidae
Exons: 3
Source: RefSeq, a predicted model, not a curated record
UGCAGGAGUCUGCUGGGCUUUGGGAAGUAAGUGUGAAGAUCAAGGUCUAUUUUACCCCUCUGACCACUUGGCGGCGCUACAGAAAAGCAAAUCCAAGUCUGCACAAGGAUGCCGACAGAUUAUGCGCCGUUCAUCAGGUGCCCAUCACAGAAGCACGCGAGGUAAGGAACAGUCCUUCUUACAUAAUCUAAGAAUGUGCUCGACUGACAAUCGUUUACAUCGCGGCCGGUCACAGAACUAUUUGGCCUCGAGGUAGCCAUCCAUAAAUCGCCUUAUCCGUCAACGUAGUGCAUUCCGCGUUGCCGCUGUGUAUAGAGCGAGGUGUGUUUCUGAUUGACUGACAUCUCAUCUAUGCGGUUUUGUUGUAAUAUGCAUAUGUCUCGUGCGGAAAUGUUUGUAUUAAU